CGUCUAUAUACGUAUAGCAUAUCAAUAAGCGGAGGAAAAGAAACUAACUAGGAUUCCCUCAGUAACGGCGAGUGAAGCGGGAAGAGCUCAAAUUUGAAAUCUUCAAGGUUCUACCUUGACGAAUUGUAGUUUAAAGAAGUGUUUUCUGUUGGAGUUUUGGUAAAAGUUCUUUGGAAUAGGACAUCAUAGAGGGUGAGAAUCCCGUAUUUGACCAUUAUUUCCAACUUUGUGAUACACUUUCAAAGAGUCGGAUUGUUUGGGAAUGCAGUCCAAAAUGGGUGGUAAAUUUCAUCUAAAGCUAAAUACUGGCGAGAGACCGAUAGCGAACAAGUACCGUGAGGGAAAGAUGAAAAGAACUUUGAAAAGAGAGUUAAACAGUACGUGAAAUUGUCAAAAGGGAAGCGUUUGACACCAGUGUUGUUUUCUCGAAAAUCAAUUAAAAAUGGUGGGAUGUUGUGUUGUUAUUGACUUUAUCAGCUUUCUGCACUUUUUUUCCUAUCUUUUUAAUGCACUUUUCGUUUAACAAGUCAACAUCAAUUUCUUUUGUUGUAAAAGAGUCAUUGGAAGGUGGCUUUCUUUUCGGAGAAAGUGCUUAUAGCCUUUGGCUUCUGCAAUCGGAGAGAUUGAGGUCUGCAGCGUAGAUCCUUCGGGGUUAGAUACAUUUGUGCUAAGUUAUAGCCUUUCAUAGACAACUUGUUGACUAUGAUCAGUCAUGUAGCUUACUCGCUUAUGUCAUUUUACCUACGCUUAGGAUGUUGACACACGCGCGUGCUCG
This 775-nucleotide ribosomal RNA is filed under the name uncultured Neocallimastigales. RNAcentral describes it as "partial large subunit ribosomal RNA". It matches the Rfam family "Eukaryotic large subunit ribosomal RNA", at positions 26 to 644 of the family's 3401-position model. The record is from RNAcentral. Lineage: Eukaryota; Fungi; Neocallimastigomycota; Neocallimastigomycetes; Neocallimastigales.